Long non-coding RNA from Peromyscus eremicus (cactus mouse), 411 nucleotides. RefSeq lists it as uncharacterized. The record is from RefSeq and is a predicted model, not a curated record. Lineage: Eukaryota; Metazoa; Chordata; Mammalia; Rodentia; Cricetidae. The transcript is spliced from 2 exons.
ACUGCUGAUGCCAUAUUGUAUAGUCCUUGCCUCCCUGCUAACUAGCUCACCCUAAACUGACCUUAAUACAAGGUUGGAAAAGAAGUAUAUCUUAUACUCGUCAGCUUUGCUUGUGGUCAGCACCAUUGAGCAGCCUGUGCAGAAUGAGAAGUAGCUGUGCCCAGGAGGAGGUCAUGUUUCUCACAGACACCAUGGAUUCAGUGAGCAUGGCGGCUGCUGGGCACCUGCAGUGUCUCCAUGCAGGAAUGGCAGAGUCUCAACACACUCAAUAGGAAGGGCAGGAACCCACACAAGCUGAGGAGCAAAAGCCCAGGCUUGUUCACUGUGCUGUGAACACGUGACUGUGCAACCAUGCCAACCUUGUGUCUUUUAAGACUUCCAGACAGUAUAUUUAGAGCUUGUUCUGCCUAA